This 501-nucleotide ribosomal RNA is filed under the name uncultured bacterium. RNAcentral's name for it is "bacterial SSU rRNA". It matches the Rfam family "Bacterial small subunit ribosomal RNA", at positions 500 to 1001 of the family's 1533-position model. The record is from RNAcentral.
ACUACGUGCCAGCAGCCGCGGUAAUACGUAGGUCGCAAGCGUUGUCCGGAUUUAUUGGGCGUAACGCGCGCGCAGGUGGUUUCUUAAGUCUGAUGUGAAAGCCCACGGCUCAACCGUGGAGGGUCAUUGGAAACUGGGGAACUUGAGUGCAGAAGAGGAUAGUGGAAUUCCAAGUGUAGCGGUGAAAUGCGUAGAGAUUUGGAGGAACACCAGUGGCGAAGGCGACUGUCUGGUCUGUAACUGACACUGAGGCGCGAAAGCGUGGGGAGCAAACAGGAUUAGCUACCCUGGUAGUCCACGCCGUAAACGAUGAGUGCUAAGUGUUAGGGGGUUUCCGCCCCUUAGUGCUGCAGUAACGCAUUAAGCACUCCGCCUGGGGAGUACGACCGCAAGGUUGAAACUCAAAGGAAUUGACGGGGGCCCGCACAAGCGGUGGAGCAUGUGGUUUAAUUCGAAGCAACGCGAAGCCCUUACCAGGUCUUGACAUCCCAAUGACCAUCC